RNAcentral lists this ribosomal RNA (253 nucleotides) under uncultured bacterium. RNAcentral describes it as "partial 16S ribosomal RNA". It matches the Rfam family "Bacterial small subunit ribosomal RNA", at positions 524 to 776 of the family's 1533-position model. The record is from RNAcentral.
UACAGAGGGGGCAAGCGUUAUUCGGAAUUAUUGGGCGUAAAGGGCGCGUAGGCGGCUUUGCAAGUGACGGGUGAAAUCCCUCGGCUUAACCGAGGAACUGCCUGUCAAACUGCAUGGCUUGAGACCGGGAGAGGUGAGUGGAAUUCCCAGUGUAGCGGUGAAAUGCGUAGAUAUUGGGAGGAACACCAGUGGCGAAGGCGGCUCACUGGACCGGUACUGACGCUGAGACGCGAAAGCGUGGGGAGCGAACAGG